RNAcentral lists this microRNA precursor (87 nucleotides) under Gossypium raimondii (Peruvian cotton). Its description in RNAcentral is "miR8719 stem-loop (gra-MIR8719)". The record is from miRBase by way of RNAcentral. Lineage: Eukaryota; Viridiplantae; Streptophyta; Magnoliopsida; Malvales; Malvaceae.
UUAGCAGAUGCAAAUUGGAUAACUGGACAGGUAAUCUGCCGUAGAAACUAUAUUACCUGUCCAGUUAUCCAAUUUGCAUCGGCUGGA